UUGAUCCUGGCUCAGAUUGAACGCUGGCGGCAGGCCUAACACAUGCAAGUCGAGCGGAAACGAGUUAUCUGAACCUUCGGGGAACGAUAACGGCGUCGAGCGGCGGACGGGUGAGUAAUGCCUAGGAAAUUGCCCUGAUGUGGGGGAUAACCAUUGGAAACGAUGGCUAAUACCGCAUAAUACCUACGGGNCAAAGAGGGGGACCUUCGGGCCUCUCGCGUCAGGAUAUGCCUAGGUGGGAUUAGCUAGUUGGUGAGGUAAUGGCUCACCAAGGCGACGAUCCCUAGCUGGUCUGAGAGGAUGAUCAGCCACACUGGAACUGAGACACGGUCCAGACUCCUACGGGAGGCAGCAGUGGGGAAUAUUGCACAAUGGGCGCAAGCCUGAUGCAGCCAUGCCGCGUGUGUGAAGAAGGCCUUCGGGUUGUAAAGCACUUUCAGUCGUGAGGAAGGUAGUGUAGUUAAUAGCUGCAUUAUUUGACGUUAGCGACAGAAGAAGCACCGGCUAACUCCGUGCCAGCAGCCGCGGUAAUACGGAGGGUGCGAGCGUUAAUCGGAAUUACUGGGCGUAAAGCGCAUGCAGGUGGUUUGUUAAGUCAGAUGUGAAAGCCCGGGGCUCAACCUCGGAAUAGCAUUUGAAACUGGCAGACUAGAGUACUGUAGAGGGGGGUAGAAUUUCAGGUGUAGCGGUGAAAUGCGUAGAGAUCUGAAGGAAUACCGGUGGCGAAGGCGGCCCCCUGGACAGAUACUGACACUCAGAUGCGAAAGCGUGGGGAGCAAACAGGAUUAGAUACCCUGGUAGUCCACGCCGUAAACGAUGUCUACUUGGAGGUUGUGGCCUUGAGCCGUGGCUUUCGGAGCUAACGCGUUAAGUAGACCGCCUGGGGAGUACGGUCGCAAGAUUAAAACUCAAAUGAAUUGACGGGGGNCCGCACAAGCGUGGAGCAUGUGGUUUAAUUCGAUGCAACGCGAAGAACCUUACCUACUCUUGACAUCCAGAGAACUUUCCAGAGAUGGAUUGGUGCCUUCGGGAACUCUGAGACAGGUGCUGCAUGGCUGUCGUCAGCUCGUGUUGUGAAAUGUUGGGUUAAGUCCCGCAACGAGCGGAACCCUUAUCCUUGUUUGCCAGCGAGUAAUGUCGGGAACUCCAGGGAGACUGCCGGUGAUAAACCGGAGGAAGGUGGGGACGACGUCAAGUCAUCAUGGCCCUUACGAGUAGGGCUACACACGUGCUACAAUGGCGCAUACAGAGGGCAGCAAGCUAGCGAUAGUGAGCGAAUCCCAAAAAGUGCGUCGUAGUCCGGAUUGGAGUCUGCAACUCGACUCCAUGAAGUCGGAAUCGCUAGUAAUCGUGGAUCAGAAUGCCACGGUGAAUACGUUCCCGGGCCUUGUACACACCGCCCGUCACACCAUGGGAGUGGGCUGCAAAAGAAGUAGGUAGUUUAACUUCAGGGAGGACGCU
RNAcentral lists this ribosomal RNA (1461 nucleotides) under Vibrio sp. Lu8. RNAcentral's name for it is "bacterial SSU rRNA". It matches the Rfam family "Bacterial small subunit ribosomal RNA". The record is from RNAcentral. Lineage: Bacteria; Pseudomonadati; Pseudomonadota; Gammaproteobacteria; Vibrionales; Vibrionaceae.